Cladochytrium tenue is the source of this 71-nucleotide non-coding RNA. The record is from the annotation of a GenBank genome assembly. NCBI's taxonomy places the organism in Eukaryota, Fungi, Chytridiomycota, Chytridiomycetes, Cladochytriales, Cladochytriaceae.
GCAACAGUGGUUUAGUGGUAUAAUUACCGCCUGCCACGCGGUAGACCCGGGUCCGAUUCCCGGCUGUUGCA